AUCUAUGACCAUACCACCCUGAACGUGCUGAUUUCAUCUGAUCUCGGAAGCUAAGCAGGGUUGGGCCUGGUUAGUACUUGGAUGGGAGAAAUUUUAAGUAUCAAUAUUUU
Non-coding RNA from Erinaceus europaeus (western European hedgehog), 110 nucleotides. The record is from Rfam. Lineage: Eukaryota; Metazoa; Chordata; Mammalia; Eulipotyphla; Erinaceidae.